RNAcentral lists this ribosomal RNA (429 nucleotides) under bacterium. RNAcentral's name for it is "partial 16S ribosomal RNA". It matches the Rfam family "Bacterial small subunit ribosomal RNA", at positions 355 to 776 of the family's 1533-position model. The record is from RNAcentral.
UAGGGCAUCUUCGGCAAUGGGGGCAACCCUGACCGAGCAACGCCGCGUGAGUGAAGAAGGUUUUCGGAUCGUAAAGCUCUGUUGUAAGAGAAGAACGUGUGUGAGAGUGGAAAGUUCACACAGUGACGGUAACUUACCAGAAAGGGACGGCUAACUACGUGCCAGCAGCCGCGGUAAUACGUAGGUCCCGAGCGUUGUCCGGAUUUAUUGGGCGUAAAGCGAGCGCAGGCGGUUUAAUAAGUCUGAAGUUAAAGGCAGUGGCUUAACCAUUGUUCGCUUUGGAAACUGUUAAACUUGAGUGCAGAAGGGGAGAGUGGAAUUCCAUGUGUAGCGGUGAAAUGCGUAGAUAUAUGGAGGAACACCGGUGGCGAAAGCGGCUCUCUGGUCUGUAACUGACGCUGAGGCUCGAAAGCGUGGGGAGCAAACAGG